RNAcentral lists this long non-coding RNA (343 nucleotides) under Setaria italica (foxtail millet). RNAcentral describes it as "long non-coding RNA (SITA_LNC000282)". The record is from RNAcentral. Lineage: Eukaryota; Viridiplantae; Streptophyta; Magnoliopsida; Poales; Poaceae.
CGGCGGAUGAGGAGGGAGGGGAAGUGCAUCUUCAGGUAGGUGCAGGUGCAGAUCAGCAGCAGCACCACCGUCACGAACGAGUGGAAGUUGAACAGCGCCGACUGCAUCCACCAACAACACCGCCGCCGCAGACACCAUGCGUAAAAGUAAGAACAGGACUAAGGAAUCCAAAAGCAGGUAAGGCUCAGAUGGAGAAAGAGGUUCGGUAGCGUUACCAUGGGUGUCCCGCGAAGAGAUCGAAGCGGACGCCGAAAGGGGGUAGUGGAGGCUCAGGCGGAAUACGCGGUUGCGGCGGCGGUCGCACCUCGGCGGGGACAAGGAACGGAGCAAGGAAAGCGGCGUU